Impatiens glandulifera is the source of this 142-nucleotide small nucleolar RNA. RefSeq annotates it as small nucleolar RNA snoR136. NCBI's taxonomy places the organism in Eukaryota, Viridiplantae, Streptophyta, Magnoliopsida, Ericales, Balsaminaceae. The transcript has a single exon. The record is from RefSeq and is a predicted model, not a curated record.
CGUGCUUCAGUUUGUUGAAUAUAUUCAGCUUAACAUUGCUCAAUAUGUUGAGCAACAGUUAUCUGAAGCUAGAUAAAUUGAUCCCCUCGCUAUCCAGUUUUCUAAUCUAGUUAGAUCAUUCGGACGUUGGGGAACUAUAUUU